UAAUACAUGCAAGUCGAACGCUUUUUCUUUCACCGGAGCUUGCUCCACCGAAAGAAAAAGAGUGGCGAACGGGUGAGUAACACGUGGGUAACCUGCCCAUCAGAAGGGGAUAACACUUGGAAACAGGUGCUAAUACCGUAUAACACUAUUUUCCGCAUGGAAGAAAGUUGAAAGGCGCUUUUGCGUCACUGAUGGAUGGACCCGCGGUGCAUUAGCUAGUUGGUGAGGUAACGGCUCACCAAGGCAACGAUGCAUAGCCGACCUGAGAGGGUGAUCGGCCACACUGGGACUGAGACACGGCCCAGACUCCUACGGGAGGCAGCAGUAGGGAAUCUUCGGCAAUGGACGAAAGUCUGACCGAGCAACGCCGCGUGAGUGAAGAAGGUUUUCGGAUCGUAAAACUCUGUUGUUAGAGAAGAACAAGGAUGAGAGUAAAAUGUUCAUCCCUUGACGGUAUCUAACCAGAAAGCCACGGCUAACUACGUGCCAGCAGCCGCGGUAAUACGUAGGUGGCAAGCGUUGUCCGGAUUUAUUGGGCGUAAAGCGAGCGCAGGCGGUUUCUUAAGUCUGAUGUGAAAGCCCCCGGCUCAACCGGGGAGGGUCAUUGGAAACUGGGAGACUUGAGUGCAGAAGAGGAGAGUGGAAUUCCAUGUGUAGCGGUGAAAUGCGUAGAUAUAUGGAGGAACACCAGUGGCGAAGGCGGCUCUCUGGUCUGUAACUGACGCUGAGGCUCGAAAG
This 738-nucleotide ribosomal RNA is filed under the name Enterococcus sp. Its description in RNAcentral is "bacterial SSU rRNA". It matches the Rfam family "Bacterial small subunit ribosomal RNA", at positions 49 to 759 of the family's 1533-position model. Lineage: Bacteria; Bacillati; Bacillota; Bacilli; Lactobacillales; Enterococcaceae. The record is from RNAcentral.